This 254-nucleotide ribosomal RNA is filed under the name uncultured bacterium. RNAcentral describes it as "partial 16S ribosomal RNA". It matches the Rfam family "Bacterial small subunit ribosomal RNA", at positions 524 to 776 of the family's 1533-position model. The record is from RNAcentral.
UACGUAGGGCGCGAGCGUUGUCCGGAAUUAUUGGGCGUAAAGAGCUCGUAGGCGGCCUGUCACGUCCGCUGUGAAAUCCCGGGGCUCAACCAUGUGGUCUGCAGUCGAUACGGGCAGGCUAGAAUUCGGUAGGGGAGACUGGAAUUCCUGGUGUAGCGGUGAAAUGCGCAGAUAUCAGGAGGAACACCGGUGGCGAAGGCGGGUCUCUGGGCCGAUAUUGACGCUGAGGAGCGAAAGCGUGGGGAGCGAACAGG